RNAcentral lists this ribosomal RNA (786 nucleotides) under Streptomyces griseoflavus. RNAcentral's name for it is "bacterial SSU rRNA". It matches the Rfam family "Bacterial small subunit ribosomal RNA", at positions 81 to 878 of the family's 1533-position model. The record is from RNAcentral. Lineage: Bacteria; Bacillati; Actinomycetota; Actinomycetes; Kitasatosporales; Streptomycetaceae.
UUCGGUGGGGAUUAGUGGCGAACGGGUGAGUAACACGUGGGCAAUCUGCCCUGCACUCUGGGACAAGCCCUGGAAACGGGGUCUAAUACCGGAUACUGACCCGCCUGGGCAUCCAGGCGGUUCGAAAGCUCCGGCGGUGCAGGAUGAGCCCGCGGCCUAUCAGCUUGUUGGUGAGGUAACGGCUCACCAAGGCGACGACGGGUAGCCGGCCUGAGAGGGCGACCGGCCACACUGGGACUGAGACACGGCCCAGACUCCUACGGGAGGCAGCAGUGGGGAAUAUUGCACAAUGGGCGAAAGCCUGAUGCAGCGACGCCGCGUGAGGGAUGACGGCCUUCGGGUUGUAAACCUCUUUCAGCAGGGAAGAAGCGAAAGUGACGGUACCUGCAGAAGAAGCGCCGGCUAACUACGUGCCAGCAGCCGCGGUAAUACGUAGGGCGCGAGCGUUGUCCGGAAUUAUUGGGCGUAAAGAGCUCGUAGGCGGCUUGUCGCGUCGGUUGUGAAAGCCCGGGGCUUAACCCCGGGUCUGCAGUCGAUACGGGCAGGCUAGAGUUCGGUAGGGGAGAUCGGAAUUCCUGGUGUAGCGGUGAAAUGCGCAGAUAUCAGGAGGAACACCGGUGGCGAAGGCGGAUCUCUGGGCCGAUACUGACGCUGAGGAGCGAAAGCGUGGGGAGCGAACAGGAUUAGAUACCCUGGUAGUCCACGCCGUAAACGGUGGGCACUAGGUGUGGGCGACAUUCCACGUCGUCCGUGCCGCAGCUAACGCAUUAAGUGCCCCGCCUGGGG